GGUGGUAUAGUGUAGAGGUAUCACAGCACGUUGUGGCCGUGCUAACCUGGGUUCGAUUCCCAGUGCCGCCA
Bimuria novae-zelandiae CBS 107.79 is the source of this 71-nucleotide non-coding RNA. Lineage: Eukaryota; Fungi; Ascomycota; Dothideomycetes; Pleosporales; Didymosphaeriaceae. The record is from the annotation of a GenBank genome assembly.